GCCUGGGUGGCUUAGUCAGUUAAGCGUCCGACUUCAACUCAGGUCAUGAUCUCACAGUCUGUGGGUUCGAGCCCCGCGUCGGGCU
RNAcentral lists this transfer RNA (85 nucleotides) under Felis catus (domestic cat). It matches the Rfam family "tRNA". Rfam says of the family: Transfer RNA (tRNA) molecules are approximately 80 nucleotides in length. Their secondary structure includes four short double-helical elements and three loops (D, anti-codon, and T loops). Lineage: Eukaryota; Metazoa; Chordata; Mammalia; Carnivora; Felidae. The record is from Rfam by way of RNAcentral.